Long non-coding RNA from Maniola jurtina (meadow brown), 144 nucleotides. RefSeq lists it as uncharacterized. Lineage: Eukaryota; Metazoa; Arthropoda; Insecta; Lepidoptera; Nymphalidae. The transcript has 3 exons. The record is from RefSeq and is a predicted model, not a curated record.
GCGGGCAUCUGCUAGUUAGUUAUAGUAACGACUAAUUUUGUGAGUAACUCAUGUCAAACUCAUUAUAUUGAAAAACUAAACACUUCCAAGUAAAGAUUUUUAUGUAAUCCUGUGAAGAUGAUACUGUUAUUGUCGAAAUUAGAA